CCCCGCUGAACUUAAGCAUAUCAAUAAGCGGAGGAAAAGAAACCAACAGGGAUUGCCCUAGUAACGGCGAGUGNAAGCGGCAAUAGCUCAAAUUUGAAAUCUGGCUCCCUAUGGGGGUCCGAGUUGUAAUUUGCAGAGGGUGCUUUGGUGUUGGCGGCGGUCUAAGUUCCUUGGAACAGGACAUCGCAGAGGGUGAGAAUCCCGUUUGUGGUCGCUUGCCUUCGCCGUGUAAAGCCCCUUCGACGAGUCGAGUUGUUUGGGAAUGCAGCUCUAAAUGGGAGGUAAAUUUCUUCUAAAGCUAAAUACUGGCCAGAGACCGAUAGCGCACAAGUAGAGUGAUCGAAAGAUGAAAAGCACUUUGGAAAGAGAGUCAAACAGCACGUGAAAUUGUUAAAAGGGAAGCGCUUGCAGCCAGACUUGCCCGUAGUUGCUCACCCAGGCUUUUGCCCGGGGCAUUCUUCUGCGGGCAGGCCAGCAUCAGUUUGGGCGGUCGGAUAAAGGCCUCUGUCACGUACCUCCCUUCGGGGAGGACUUAUAGGGGAGGYGUAAUGCGACCAGCCCGGACUGAGGUCCGCGCUUCGGCUAGGAUGCUGGCGUAAUGGCUGUAAGCGGCCCGUCUUGAAACACGGACCAAGGAGUCUAACAUCUAUGCGAGUGUUUGGGUGUCAAGCCCGAGCGCGUAAUGAAAGUGAACGGAGGUGGGAACCCUUUGGGUGCACCAUCGACCGAUCCUGAUGUCUUCGGAUGGAUUUGAGUAAGAGCAUAGCUGUUGGGACCCGAAAGAUGGUGAACUAUGCUUGAAUAGGGUGAAGCCAGAGGAAACUCUGGUGGAGGCUCGCAGCGGUUCUGACGUGCAAAUCGAUCGUCAAAUUUGGGCAUAGGGGCGGUACGUACAACCCUUUUUUAAACUUCGAAUUGGACAUUUUACUAACAUUUAUUAUAGAAAGACUAAUCGAACUAUCUAGUAGCUGGGUUCCUGCCGAAGUUUCCCUCAGGAAAUUU
This 1002-nucleotide ribosomal RNA is filed under the name Pseudodidymosphaeria spartii. RNAcentral's name for it is "eukaryotic LSU rRNA". It matches the Rfam family "Eukaryotic large subunit ribosomal RNA", at positions 24 to 983 of the family's 3401-position model. The record is from RNAcentral. Lineage: Eukaryota; Fungi; Ascomycota; Dothideomycetes; Pleosporales; Massarinaceae.